GUGAACCUUUACUAUAGCUUGACACUGAACAUUGAGCCUUGAUGUGUAGGAUAGGUGGGAGGCUUUGAAGUGUGGACGCCAGUCUGCAUGGAGCCGACCUUGAAAUACCACCCUUUAAUGUUUGAUGUUCUAACGUGGACCCGUUACCCGGGUUGCGGACAGUGUCUGGUGGGUAGUUUGACUGGGGCGGUCUCCUCCUAAAGAGUAACGGAGGAGCACGAAGGUUGGCUAAUCCUGGUCGGACAUCAGGAGGUUAGUGCAAUGGCAUAAGCCAGCUUGACUGCGAGCGUGACGGCGCGAGCAGGUGCGAAAGCAGGUCAUAGUGAUCCGGUGGUUCUGAAUGGAAGGGCCAUCGCUCAACGGAUAAAAGGUACUCCGGGGAUAACAGGCUGAUACCGCCCAAGAGUUCAUAUCGACGGCGGUGUUUGGCACCUCGAUGUCGGCUCAUCACAUCCUGGGGCUGAAGUAGGUCCCAAGGGUAUGGCUGUUCGCCAUUUAAAGUGGUACGCGAGCUGGGUUUAGAACGUCGUGAGACAGUUCGGUCCCUAUCUGCCGUGGGCGCUGGAGAACUGAGGGGGGCUGCUCCUAGUACGAGAGGACCGGAGUGGACGCAUCACUGGUGUUCGGGUUGUCAUGCCAAUGGCACUGCCCGGUAGCUAAAUGCGGAAGAGAUAAGUGCUGAAAGCAUCUAAGCACGAAACUUGCCCCGA
RNAcentral lists this ribosomal RNA (710 nucleotides) under Salmonella enterica. RNAcentral describes it as "partial 23S ribosomal RNA". It matches the Rfam family "Bacterial large subunit ribosomal RNA", at positions 2093 to 2802 of the family's 2925-position model. Lineage: Bacteria; Pseudomonadati; Pseudomonadota; Gammaproteobacteria; Enterobacterales; Enterobacteriaceae. The record is from RNAcentral. RNAcentral also lists the same sequence under 1 other name.